RNAcentral lists this long non-coding RNA (474 nucleotides) under Elaeis guineensis (African oil palm). Its description in RNAcentral is "long non-coding RNA (EGUI_LNC062823)". The record is from RNAcentral. Lineage: Eukaryota; Viridiplantae; Streptophyta; Magnoliopsida; Arecales; Arecaceae.
AGUUCGGAGUAGAGAUCCGGCUGGCGGAGCCCGUCCGUUGUAGGAGUUCGUCUGGAAUCCAUCCGCUGUAGAAGUUUGGCUGGGAUCCAGCUCUCGUUAGAGCUCGGAUGAAAUUCGGGAGGCAGUCGACCACCGUAGAAACUUGGAUGGAAUCCGAUUACUAUAGAAGUUCUGCUAUUGGAGAAGCUCAGAUAUUGAUGAAGUCCGAAAAAAGUUCGGAGUAAAGUCGUUCGUGGUCGGAAGUAGUCUAGGCUAAGAUUCGGAGAAUAGUCGAUCACUGUAGAAAAUCGACUGAUAGCGAAGCUCAGAGAGCAUUUGGAGCAGUCUGGUAGAUGAAUGGAGGAGCCUAUUAUUGAAGAAAUUCGGAUGGUAUUAUGGAAGCUCGGAUGGUCGGGGGAGUUCUGAAAGACGCCACACAAGGUCGAAAGCCGGAAGAGCCCUGGAAGGGUCGGCUUUUUACGAACUUCGGCUGGG